Long non-coding RNA from Brienomyrus brachyistius, 1399 nucleotides. RefSeq lists it as uncharacterized. The record is from RefSeq and is a predicted model, not a curated record. NCBI's taxonomy places the organism in Eukaryota, Metazoa, Chordata, Actinopteri, Osteoglossiformes, Mormyridae. The transcript is spliced from 4 exons.
ACUGGACCAAGAAGACGCGAGGGACAGAACAGCACUGGCGAUCGUGAAGCUGAUUUAAUACCUGUAGUUUUAGUGAAAGUUUUGAGAAAUUAAGAAAAGAGUGUUAUGCAGGCUGCCUACGAUGGGUUGUCAGCAUGGCUAAUUGCUUCAUUACAGAGUGGUACCUCCGAAAAUGCUUGGAAUAAAUUAUUUUUUUUUUCUUUCUUGCGGACUUGAGGAUGUUCCGAGAGUGCUUGAGUACAAGCAAUGAAGGUGCGUCCACAGUAACGGAGGAAACUGCAGCUUAUACACACGGCCGUAUGCAAAACCUCGGCACGUUGCACAUGAAGAUGGCACAAGGCUCCACCUACAGGUCCCAUCCUGAACUUGCAGCUCCGCACUGAUCGACGCUGAGAAACGGGCGUCUUGUCUAGAGUGCAGUUUGCUGGACCCGAACAGUGAGGCAUCAGAGAUUGUGGCCAGAGCGUCCAGUUCGUGGUACAGUGACUGACCCCGGAGAAACCACGUGAGGCAGUUUAAAAAUAGAGAUAACAGAGGCAUUGGAGUACUGUGCAUGGAGACCACUCGAGCCUGGCAGAGCUGGACGGCCUGGGCACGGAUCUUAGCCACGGGCAGCCAGGAAGACGUGCCCGUGGGCCCGGCCAGAGACGGCAAAGAGCGAAGUGGGCACGACGAUGGUGGAGAGGGAAGAGAUGCAUUUGGAGCAGUAGGGGAAAGACAGGCACCAUAUGUUCCCAUCACCAAAAUUCCACUGGCAGAACAGGGCAGAAAGUAAGGGAAGGAAAGGCAGCGAGAGAGGGGAAUGUGAGAGUCAUUGCUUUGGCUUGCCUUAAUAUGACACGCACUGUUACACAGCAAUUAAUCCCUUUGGUUAACAGCAAAGCUGGGCAAUUUAAAGGCCAUAAAUAUACGAGAGAAUAUUCUCGUAGUGGCUCAGUCUAAAUAACCUGUUUACCAUAAAUGAAAACAUCAUGUUUCAAUUUAUCAUUCUUAUCAAAAUUUAGAACUAACACUAUUUAUUACGUGAUAGUUUGAUUUACAAAUACUGACGGUUAUUACUGGAUACCUUGCUGUAAAACUAAUAUUUAAAAAAUGUGUGUGACACUCAUCCAGACACUCUCCUGGCCGUUUAUCAGUACAGUAAUUUAAAGAAACCAGUUUGAAGAAAAAACUGUUUCCACCCUGAUGUGGGAGGUGUAUGAAUAAGGUCAUUAAUUAAAACGGCUCUUGUAAUACACCAGCAAACUUGUACAUAUUUUAUAUAGAUUGAUAAUCAGUUUUCAUCAUCUAAUUUCCAGAGGUAUAUGUCAUGGGGGGGGGGAACUACAUAAAGAAAUAAAGACUGUAAAUAAAUGGCUUAUAUUUAAAAACAUUAAAAUGUAAAUAUGUAAAAAAAAAA